Molecule: ribosomal RNA, 658 nt
Filed under: uncultured Bacteroidota bacterium
Lineage: Bacteria; Pseudomonadati; Bacteroidota
Description: bacterial SSU rRNA
Rfam family: Bacterial small subunit ribosomal RNA
Source: RNAcentral
AACACAUGCAAGUCGAGGGGCAGCAUAAAAGUAGCAAUACUUUGGUGGCGACCGGCGCACGGGUGAGUAACGCGUAUGCAACCUACCUAUCAGAGGGGGAUAACCCGGCGAAAGUCGGACUAAUACCGCAUAAAACAGGGGCACCGCAUGGUGAUAUUUGUUAAAGAUUAAUUGCUGAUAGAUGGGCAUGCGUUCCAUUAGGUAGUUGGUGAGGUAACGGCUCACCAAGCCGACGAUGGAUAGGGGAACUGAGAGGUUGGUCCCCCACACUGGUACUGAGACACGGACCAGACUCCUACGGGAGGCAGCAGUGAGGAAUAUUGGUCAAUGGGCGAGAGCCUGAACCAGCCAAGUCGCGUGAAGGAAGAAGGAUCUAUGGUUCGUAAACUUCUUUUGCAGGGGAAUAAAGUGCAGGACGUGUCCUGUUUUGUAUGUACCCUGAGAAUAAGGAUCGGCUAACUCCGUGCCAGCAGCCGCGGUAAUACGGAGGAUCCGAGCGUUAUCCGGAUUUAUUGGGUUUAAAGGGUGCGUAGGUGGUUUAAUAAGUCAGCGGUGAAAGUUUGCAGCUUAACUGUAAAAAUGCCGUUGAAACUGUUAGACUUGAGUGUAAAUGAGGUAGGCGGAAUGCGUGGUGUAGCGGUGAAAUGCUUAGAUAUCA